This 405-nucleotide ribosomal RNA is filed under the name Bacillota bacterium. Its description in RNAcentral is "Firmicutes bacterium partial 16S ribosomal RNA". It matches the Rfam family "Bacterial small subunit ribosomal RNA", at positions 355 to 776 of the family's 1533-position model. The record is from RNAcentral. Lineage: Bacteria; Bacillati; Bacillota.
UGGGGAAUAUUGCACAAUGGGCGAAAGCCUGAUGCAGCGACGCCGCGUGAGCGAAGAAGGCCUUCGGGUUGUAAACUUCUUUGAUCGGGGACGAAGGAAGACGGUACCCGAGGAACAAGCCACGGCUAACUACGUGCCAGCAGCCGCGGUAAUACGUAGGUGGCGAGCGUUGUCCGGAAUUACUGGGCGUAAAGGGCGUGUAGGCGGGGGGACAAGUCAGAUGUGAAAUACUGCAGCUUAACUGCGGGGCUGCAUCUGAAACUGUUCUUCUUGAGUGUCGGAGAGGAAAGUGGAAUUCCCGGUGUAGCAGUGAAAUGCGUAGAGAUCGGGAGGAACACCAGUGGCGAAGGCGGCUGCCUGGGGAGUCACUGACGCUGAGGCGCGAAAGCUAGGGGAGCAAACAGG